Molecule: ribosomal RNA, 826 nt
Filed under: uncultured bacterium
Lineage: Bacteria
Description: bacterial SSU rRNA
Rfam family: Bacterial small subunit ribosomal RNA
Source: RNAcentral
AUGAAACUUUAACAGAACCCUUCGGGGCGAAGAUAAAGUGGACUAUCGGCGGACGGGUGAGUAACACGUGAGUAACCUGCCUUAGACAUUGGGAUAGCCUCGGGAAACCGGGAUUAAUACCAAAUAAAAUCAUAAUGACACAUGUCAUAACGAUCAAAACUCCGGUGGUCUAAGAUGGACUCGCGUCCCAUUAGCUAGUUGGUAGAGUAAAAGCCUACCAAGGCGACGAUGGGUAGCCGGCCUGAGAGGGUGAACGGCCACAUUGGAACUGAGAAACGGUCCAAACUCCUACGGGAGGCAGCAGUGGGGAAUAUUGCACAAUGGAGGGAACUCUGAUGCAGCGACGCCGCGUGAACGAAGAAGGCUUUCGAGUCGUAAAGUUCUUUUAUAUGGGAAGAUAAUGACGGUACCAUAAGAAAAAGCCCCGGCUAACUACGUGCCAGCAGCCGCGGUAAUACGUAGGGGGCUAGCGUUGUCCGGAAUCACUGGGCGUAAAGGGUUCGCAGGCGGAAAUGCAAGUCAGAUGUAAAAGGCAGUAGCUUAACUACUGUAAGCAUUUGAAACUGCAUAUCUUGAGAAGAGUAGAGGUAAGUGGAAUUUUUAGUGUAGCGGUGAAAUGCGUAGAUAUUAAAAAGAAUACCGGUGGCGAAGGCGACUUACUGGGCUCAUUCUGACGCUGAGGAACGAAAGCGUGGGUAGCAAACAGGAUUAGAUACCCUGGUAGUCCACGCUGUAAACGAUGAGUGCUAGGUGUCGGCGAAUGUCGGUGCCGCAGUUAACACAAUAAGCACUCCGCCUGGGGAGUACGUGCGCAAGCAUGAAACUC